GACGAACGCUGGCGGCGUGCUUAACACAUGCAAGUCGAACGGAAAGGCCCUGCUUGCAGGGUACUCGAGUGGCGAACGGGUGAGUAACACGUGGGUGAUCUGCCCUGCACUUCGGGAUAAGCCUGGGAAACUGGGUCUAAUACCGGAUAGGAGCCAUUUUUAGUGUGAUGGUUGGAAAGUUUUUUCGGUGUAGGAUGAGCUCGCGGCCUAUCGGCUUGUUGGUGGGGUAAUGGCCUACCAAGGCGGCGACGGGUAGCCGGCCUGAGAGGGUGGACGGCCACAGUGGGACUGGGAUACGGCCCAGACUCCUACGGGAGGCAGCAGUGGGGAAUAUUGCACAAUGGGCGCAAGCCUGAUGCAGCGACGCCGCGGGGGGGAUGACGGCCUUCGGGUUGUAAACUCCUUUCGCUAGGGACGAAGCUUUUUGUGACGGUACCUAGAUAAGAAGCACCGGCUAACUACGUG
This 465-nucleotide ribosomal RNA is filed under the name uncultured bacterium. RNAcentral describes it as "partial 16S ribosomal RNA". It matches the Rfam family "Bacterial small subunit ribosomal RNA", at positions 28 to 507 of the family's 1533-position model. The record is from RNAcentral.